This 73-nucleotide transfer RNA is filed under the name Paramuricea clavata. It matches the Rfam family "tRNA". From Rfam's summary of the family: Transfer RNA (tRNA) molecules are approximately 80 nucleotides in length. Their secondary structure includes four short double-helical elements and three loops (D, anti-codon, and T loops). The record is from Rfam by way of RNAcentral. Lineage: Eukaryota; Metazoa; Cnidaria; Anthozoa; Malacalcyonacea; Plexauridae.
GACCGCGUAGCUCAGUUGGCAGAGCAUUGGGCUAGUAUUCCAAAGGUCGUAGGUUCAAUUCCCACCGUUGACA